GGAGCGCUGCUGCCCACCCAGCGGGGCCUGACACCUCCUAGCCCCAGACUCCCCGUGCGCUUUCGGCCCGGCCAGUCCUUUCUGAAUAUGCGAUUCCUGAGACGUUAGCGUAUGCAUUAGCGUGAUCGAUUUUCAUCUAAAGCCAUUAAAUCAGUUUUAUAGCUUCCCCAAGAACGUGGGCAACCCCCUGCUUGGAAGAUGAAAGAGAAAGUCCUCCCGCCCGAAGCCCAGGAUCGGAGUGAGGACAACAAAAUGUCUAAAUCACCUUUCCAAGGCUUCAACAAUGAAUGUAUUUUCCAAAUCAAUGUUGGAGUACAUGGUCAGAAAAGAUGUCUUUUGGACUUGUGAAAUUACUUAUAUAAAAAUUCUUACCAAGAUGGAAGCAUAAAAAACACAUUUAUUUAUAUGUUUACUAAAUCUUCUUUUAUUGAAAACAAUAAGACAACCUGAAAGCAAGUCUAUCAGAGAAAAUCUGGGACUUAUGUCUUCACUGACAAAAUAAUAAAUGAGACAAAGUGAUAGAAGACCUUUGUCAUGACACCUGUUUGCUACCAGAGCCCCAGGCCAUCGUCAUCCACUGAUGUCUCCACAUUAAUUCUGCAGAGGUCCUGGACAGUCUUCUCUGCCCUGUCUAAUGGUCAGUUAAUUCUCCUUGUAAGCACAUCAUGGCUGACCAGGUGCUGGACCGCGCAAAGAAAGGUGUCAGAGCUUUCAGCUUAAGCCUUGAUUGGGUGGUGAGUAGGUCUCCUGCAGCUAAUCAGUGGCUUUAGAAACCCUGGAGUCCUUCAGAAACCCUAAAGUUCUUCCUUCUGAUUUUUCUGGUAGACCAAAGGAAAAGGCCAACAACAAACAAUUUCUAAAUAAGAAAUUUCCACCUUAGCUAAAAGCAAAAGGCCUUUGAUACUCUAUAAGAUUGAUCAACUCACUUCAGUUGAAAUAAUGGUUUUCUGAAGUCAAGGCAUGAACAGCCUUUCCCCACUGGAUGGGAUGCUCAGAUUACCAGCCCUGGAAUGAAACAAAAGGAGAAGACUGUCUCACCCCACACUUCUCAACCAUUGGCCAUUCUGAGAUGACACCUGCAGAGCCACAGCCCCACCUGCCCGAGCACCCACGGGUGCCUUGGUCAUCCUGCACCAUGGAGCUGCUUGUCUCUCCUCUGUACUCACAAUGCUGUGUGUCCUCUCUGUUGCACCUAAAACUCUUCAUCAAGUAACCAGGCGAAGAGGUCUGUCUUCUCUUCCAGAAGCCCAAGAUCCCUUUUCCAAGGACUGUCUGGAUGCCCCUGCCUUGAAUCUGAGUUUUAUCUUCUGCAGACCUGGGCUUAAUUUGCUGCUCUGAAAAAGGACACAGGCUCUGUAGCCAGACAGAUGUGGGUUUUGAUGCCAGAGCCACCGUUUAAGUAGCUGGGGAACUUUGGGUACGUUUCUGGCCAUUGCUUUUCACAUCUUGUCACUGGGAAUGUUAUUAUUAUUUUAUCUAUUUUUUUUUUUGAGACGGAAUCUUGCUUUGUUGCCCAGGCUAGAGUGCAGUGGCUCUAUCUCAAUUCACUGCAAGCUCCGCCUCCCGGGUUCACUCCAUUCUCCUGCCUCAGCAUUCCAAGUAGCUGGGACUACAGGUGCGCACCACCACGCCCGGCUAACUUUUUGUAUUUUUAGUAGAGGCGGGUUUUCACAGUGUUAGCCAGGAUGAUCUCGAUCUCCUGACCUCCUGAUCCGCCCGCCUCGGCCUCCCAAAGUGCUGGGAUUACAGACGAGAGCCACCACGCCCAGCCAGGAAUGUUAUUAACACCUAGAUUCAUCAUUGGGAACAUUUUCAAAAAAUGUAUUAUUAUUCCUUAUUCCUUUCUCUUAGACAAUUUUUUCUUUUUAAGCUGAGAGGUGUCAAUAGGGCAACAUUUCUGAUUUAUACAUUGUUUUCUCCAUGGAGUUGCAUUUGGCAAAACUCCAGGUGCAUGGAAACACACAGGUGGGUCUUUGUGCCAUCAGGCUGGGCUGCUCAGUGGGCCCAGCUGUUAGUCCACGUGUUUGCCUGUGGGUCAACAGAACAGGAAAGGCUCCUGGAUUCUCUCUGUUGCUUUCCAUCCACCUGGACUGCUCCACCUCCUAUCCUCUCUGUCUCCUUGAUUCAACUCGAUGCUACCCUCAUUUAUCCAAGCAGAGAAAGGUGCUCCUUUCCUCUUUUAGUUUUCUCUCACCCUUCCUUCUUUUCACAUCUAUUUCUUACUGUUUCCUGCACAGUGCUUGUCUUUUCUCUGACAUUGUAUGAGCAAUUUCUUUGAUACAAUGGUAGUCUCCAAUUAUGCUACUGGGCAAGCCAGCCUAGAGGUUGUGGAACAGAAAGGCUCUCAGACCAACUUAAGUCACUCAUAUCGCAAGUUUUAUUGAAUCAGCUGAAAAUAUCCAGUACUUUCAAGGGGAAAGAUGUGAGAAAGGUUCACCCACUUAGCUUAAGGUGCAAGCAGGUGGCAGGACCACACGACCCGAUCCUCAGUGACUCAGUGUUCAUGUGACCGGUGUUCUCUUCUACAUUGACCUUCCAAGCUCAUGGGGUAGUUACUUUGGAACAAGGAGGCUCUGCAGAGAAAACUGCCUGAAGCCAAAAUGAUCUUGCUCUACCAGAGAGAUAAAGGGGCAAGUAUGCCUGGCCAAUAAAGAGCUUGCUAAACAGCCAUUGCUUUUCUCUGUGUUUCUAGACAAAGCUCAUGUGGGGAGAGAUGGGAUUAAUGUAGUUUCACCAAUGAUGGCUGAUUCAGCAAUAAUGUGCCUGUCAUAUAGAGGUGGCAUAAUACACACGUUGUAACUUGGCCUGUUCAUCUUUUUUCUGACUUUAAGUGUCAGAGGCAUGUGAACCAGAGCAACUCCAUCUUAACUCGGAGCUGGGUAAAAUGAGGCUGAGACCUACGGGGCUGCAUUCCCAGUUGGUUAAGGUAUCCUAAGUCCCAGGAUGAGACAGAAGGUCAGCAUAAAAUACAGGUCAUAAAGAUCUUGCUGAUGAAACAGGUUGCAAUACAGAAGCUGGCUAAAACCCACCAAAACCAAGAUGGCCAAGAGAGUGACCUCUGGUCUUCCUCACUGCUACAUUCCCACCAGCACCAUGACAGUUUACAAAUGCCAUGGCAACAUCAGGAAGUUAACCUUUAUGAUCUAAAAAGGGGAGGCAUGAAUAAUCCACCCCUUUUUUAGCAUAUGAUCAAGAAAUAACCAUAAAAAUGGGCAGCCAGCAGCCCUCGGGGCUGCUCUACCUAUGGAUCAGCCACGCUUGUA
This is a long non-coding RNA of Homo sapiens (human), 3263 nucleotides long. Lineage: Eukaryota; Metazoa; Chordata; Mammalia; Primates; Hominidae. The record is from Ensembl.